UAUGAAUCUCUCAAUCUCUCUCACUCUCUCUCUCUCUCUCUCUCUCUCUCUCUCUCUCUCUCCCCUCGUCCUGGUGUUUUUGUUUGUUUUUAUGGUGCUGAGGAUUGAACACAGUGCCUUUGCAGUGAGCUGUGUCCCCGGCCUUUUAAAUUUGGUUUUUAAAUUUUGAGAUAAAGUCUCAUUAAGUUCCCCAGGCUGGGCUCAAACAUUCCACCCUCUGCCUAUAGGCCUGUGCUACCAUGCCUGACUCUGGUGGGAUUUUUUUGGGUUUUUUCAAGACAUUAUGUUAUUUUAAGUGAAAAAAAUCCCUAAAAUUUGAGAUCAUUGCCACAAGCUUUAGUGUUCAUCUUUAUAUUGUUCAAUGCCAUCUUUUUUUUUUUCCUUUGGUACCAGGGAUCAAACUCAGGACCUUGCGCUUAUGAGGCAGGUGCCAGAACCACUGAGCUAAAUCACCGGCCCUAUUCAAUGUCUUCUUGAAAUGCAAAUAUAAGAACAUUUAACUCCUCUAUAGUCACUGAAAUUACAAAUUUGUGUUUUGUGCCUUAUACAUGCAUAUGUAUUUUGUUCUUACCAGUAGGAAUGCUGCACAAGAGCAGCUCAGCCGUCUGCACUUCGCUUGUUGGAACACACACCCUGCCGCACUCUUUGGCUGCUGCUCCGUAAGGAAGGUCUCGGGAAAAGGCACUGUUAUGGCCCCAUACUUCCCUUUCCUUCUCUGUCACCAGCUCCAACCUAACUUGUUGACUGAUGUGAGGAAGUAACUGAGGUCCACAAACUUGGCUCAAAACAGCACAGGUGCAGUAUCUUACAGUUCUGCGGGCCAGAGUUUAGCAUGGGUUCCAUGGGGCCCAAAGCCAGACGCCAGAGGGAUGGCUCCUUCCGGAAGCUCUGGAGAGAAUCUGCGUCUCUGCUGAGGCCCGUUCCUCGAGGCCCCUUGUGCUCCUGGACCCAGGCCCCUCCUGCCGUCAAGGCCAGACCUGCUUCCACCGUCACGUCUUCCCUGGCUCUCUUCUGCCUCCCUCCUCUGCAUUUAAGGACCCAUGUGGCUCCGUUACGCUCACUAUGAUAAAGCAAAAUGAUAUCCCCGCCUCAAGAUCCUUGGCCUCAUCACGAACCUACCAAGACCCUUCUGCCAUGGAAAGUUACAGUCACGGGUUCCGGGGAUGAGGAAGUAGACAUUUUGGGGGUCGUUCUGCCUAUCCCAGAUGGGGAUGACAACCUCAUAUCCCCCUUUUUAAAAAAGAUGAAAUGCUUCACGAA
This is a non-coding RNA of Heterocephalus glaber (naked mole-rat), 1260 nucleotides long. Lineage: Eukaryota; Metazoa; Chordata; Mammalia; Rodentia; Bathyergidae. The record is from RefSeq and is a predicted model, not a curated record.